UUUCGCGGGGUGUAUCUUCUAACCCUAAAUCCGGGUUCUUUCCUGUACCAAAUGUUUGCUGUUUUCUCUCGGACUUUCAGCGAGCUACAGGAGGAUUUCAAACAUGUCGCGGAUAUGUUUCAGAGGGCGUAAAAAAAAAAAGUCCAUGAGUAUCACUCCGUUAUGUUCAGUUCCCGGUCAGAAACACCGUGAAAGACGCCGUGGUCAGUGAGUCUGCCGCGAGGAGCUCGUCUCCGCUGCUCCGGUGUGCUCCCGGGUCACGUCCGCAAAACUGACACAGAAAAGUGAGAGUGGCGCCCCGGCCCGACCCUCCCAUGGUCCCGCGCGGACGCCACAUUCAUACAUAU
This 347-nucleotide telomerase RNA is filed under the name Periophthalmus magnuspinnatus. Its description in RNAcentral is "Vertebrate telomerase RNA (ENSPMGG00000006925.1)". It matches the Rfam family "Vertebrate telomerase RNA". From Rfam's summary of the family: Telomerase is a ribonucleoprotein reverse transcriptase that synthesises telomeric DNA. Telomerase RNAs differ greatly in sequence and structure between vertebrates, ciliates and yeasts, but they share a 5' pseudoknot structure close to the template sequence. Lineage: Eukaryota; Metazoa; Chordata; Actinopteri; Gobiiformes; Gobiidae. The record is from RNAcentral.